This 466-nucleotide ribosomal RNA is filed under the name uncultured bacterium. Its description in RNAcentral is "bacterial SSU rRNA". It matches the Rfam family "Bacterial small subunit ribosomal RNA", at positions 917 to 1382 of the family's 1533-position model. The record is from RNAcentral.
GGGCCCGCACAAGCGGAGGAACAUGUGGUUUAAUUCGAUGAUACGCGAGGAACCUUACCCGGGCUUGAAAUGCAAUCGACGGUAGUGGAAACAUUACUUCCAGCAAUGGCGAUUGUGUAGGUGCUGCAUGGUUGUCGUCAGCUCGUGCCGUGAGGUGUCGGCUUAAGUGCCAUAACGAGCGCAACCCUUAUCAUUAGUUGCCAUCGGGUCAUGCCGGGAACUCUAAUGAGACUGCCACCGUAAGGUGUGAGGAAGGUGGGGAUGACGUCAAAUCAGCACGGCCCUUACGUCCGGGGCGACACACGUGUUACAAUGGGGGGUACAGCGGGCAGCUACCUGGCGACAGGAUGCUAAUCUCUGAAAGCCUCUCUCAGUUCGGAUCGGAGUCUGCAACUCGACUCCGUGAAGCUGGAUUCGCUAGUAAUCGCGCAUCAGCCAUGGCGCGGUGAAUACGUUCCCGGGCCUU